GUGUAGCGGUGAAAUGCGCAGAUAUCAGGAGGAAACACCGGUGGCGAAGGCGGUUCUCUGGGCAUUACCUGACGCUGAGGAGCGAAAGUGUGGGGAGCGAACAGGAUUAGAUACCCUGGUAGUCCACACCGUAAACGUUGGGCGCUAGGUGUGUGGUCCAUUCCACGGAUUCCGUGCCGCAGCUAACGCAUUAAGCGCCCCGCCUGGGGAGUACGGCCGCAAGGCUAAAACUCAAAGGAAUUGACGGGUGCCCGCACAAGCGGCGGAGCAUGCGGAUUAAUUCGAUGCAACGCGAAGAGCCUUACCUGGGUUUGACAUAUGCCGGAAAGCCUCAGAGAUGGGGCCCCUUUUAGUCGGUAUACAGGUGGUGCAUGGCUGUCGUCAGCUCGUGUCGUGAGAUGUUGGGUUAAGUCCCGCAACGAGCGCAACCCUCGUUCUAUGUUGCCAGCACGUAAUGGUGGGGACUCAUAGGAGACUGCCGGGGUCAACUCGGAGGAAGGUGGGGAUAACGUCAAGUCAUCAUGCCCCUUAUGUCCAGGGCUUCACGCAUGCUACAAUGGCCGGUACAAAGGGCUGCGAUGCUGUAAGGCGGAGCGAAUCCCAAAAAGCCGGUCUCAGUUCGGAUUGGGUCUGCAACUCGACCCCAUGAAGUCGGAGUCGCUAGUAAUCGCAGAUCAGCAACGCUGCGGUGAAUACGUUCCCGGGCCUUGUACACACCGCCCGUCACGUCACGAAAGUUGGCAACACCCGAAGCCGGUGGCCUAACCCCUUGUGGGAGGGAGCCGUCGAAGGUGGGGCUGGCGAUUGGGACGAAGUCGUAACAAGGUAACC
RNAcentral lists this ribosomal RNA (831 nucleotides) under uncultured bacterium. RNAcentral's name for it is "bacterial SSU rRNA". It matches the Rfam family "Bacterial small subunit ribosomal RNA", at positions 673 to 1501 of the family's 1533-position model. The record is from RNAcentral.